This 419-nucleotide ribosomal RNA is filed under the name uncultured bacterium. RNAcentral's name for it is "bacterial SSU rRNA". It matches the Rfam family "Bacterial small subunit ribosomal RNA", at positions 30 to 452 of the family's 1533-position model. The record is from RNAcentral.
AUUGAACGCUGGCGGCAUGCCUUACACAUGCAAGUCGAACGGCAGCACGGGAGCAAUCCUGGUGGCGAGUGGCGAACGGGUGAGUAAUAUAUCGGAACGUGCCCAGUCGUGGGGAUAACGUAGCGAAAGCUACGCUAAUACCGCAUACGAUCUAUGGAUGAAAGCGGGGGAUCGCAAGACCUCGCGCGAUUGGAGCGGCCGAUAUCAGAUUAGGUAGUUGGUGAGGUAAAGGCUCACCAAGCCGACGAUCUGUAGCUGGUCUGAGAGGACGACCAGCCACACUGGGACUGAGACACGCCCCAGACUCCUACGGGAGGCAGCAGUGGGGAAUUUUGGACAAUGGGCGCAAGCCUGAUCCAGCAAUGCCGCGUGCAGGAUGAAGGCCUCGGUUGUAACUAGCUUUGUUACGGUAACGGAAA